AGCAGCCGCGGUAAUUCCAGCUCCAAUAGCGUAUAUUAAAGUUGUUGCAGUUAAAAAGCUCGUAGUUGAAUUUCGGGAUCAAUAUAUCGGUCGUGCCUUCGGUACGUACUGGUAUCAUUGGUUUCUCCUUUCUGACGAACCAUGAUGUCAUUAAUUUGGUGUUAUGGGGAGUUAGGACUGUUACUUUGAAAAAAUUAGAGUGUUUAAAGCAGGCUUUAGCUUGAAUACAUUAGCAUGGAAUAAUGAAAUAGGACGUUCGAACCUAUUUUGUUGGUUUCUAGGAUCAACGUAAUGAUUAAUAGGGAUAGUUGGGGGCAUUAGUAUUCAAUUGUCAGAGGUGAAAUUCUUGGAUUAUUGAAGACUAACUACUGCGAAAGCAUUUGCCAAGGAUGUUUUCAUUAAUCAAGAACGAAAGUUAGGGGGAUCAAGACGAUCAGAUACCGUCGUAGUCUUAACCAUAAACUAUGCCGACUAGGGAUCGGAUGAUGUUAAUUUUUUAAUGACUCAUUCGGCGCCUUAC
Molecule: unclassified non-coding RNA, 520 nt
Filed under: uncultured Glomus
Lineage: Eukaryota; Fungi; Glomeromycota; Glomeromycetes; Glomerales; Glomeraceae
Description: SSU rRNA
Rfam family: Eukaryotic small subunit ribosomal RNA
Source: RNAcentral